GUACCACAGUAAGUCCUGACCAAAAUGCAGGGAGAACUGAUUCUUUUUAUUAGAUUAUUGUAACAAACCAGGUCCUACUACCAUAGAAGUUUCAGUAACUGUUAAGUAAAACACUCAGUUUUUGUAGAAGUCUUAAGUUCAUCUAAUCUAAUGAAUGGAUUGUUAAUCAAACUUUUGAAGAGGUACCAUUUCAACCUUAAACUUUUAAUGAUUAUUUUAUUAAUUCAUUAACUUCAAAAAUCCAUAUUACCUUUCAAAUAGUUUUAUAAUUAACGCAGGCAAAUGCCCAAGAAAAUACACUAAUCUUAUUCAACAUCUUCAAAUCUUCAAAUGUUGUCCUGAGAUCUAAGAGUAGGACAUUCAAACCAUAGAUCCUAAAAUUAUCAGAUCAGUUCUUUGAUGCUGGAACAUGUUGACCUUAAGAGACAUUGUAGUGAAUUGAGAGUAGGGGGAGAAAAUGUUUGGUGAAAUAUCAAGACUAGACACAUAGGAGCAAAUUACAGAAAGGAAGAAGUAUUAAGGAUGAGGAAGAGCUGAGCCCCAGCCUAUCUUAGGAUGUCAACCAAGAAGAGCUUUGGAACAUGACCUCAUUGCAUCCUGGAGUUGUUAGAGCAACUGGGCCAAGGAUGGUGAGCCCCAGGCAUGGUAAGUUCUGCUUAUCGUUCUAAGAAAAAUUAUCUCCUUUCUUACUUGUUGUACAUGUCUAUCACAAGUAUUAUCUAGUAAUUCAUCUGUCUUUUUAAGCUUCUUGAGGCAAGCAUUGUGUCUUAUAGCCACCCAUGCCACCACUCAUCAGUGCCUGGCAUGGAGUAAUAUGCUUAAAAAGGUUUGUUAAAUAAAUGAAUACAUGAGUUUUUACAAUACUUGAGUCACAAUACCUGAAGUUCAGUGUUAACAAAUGAGGUAAGUGUAUCUUCAAAUAUAGUUCAGUUCCUGUUAUUUAAAUCAUAAACAAUAUACAAUUUGUUACUUGAUUAAUGCUUCUAAAUAAACACAUUGAAAAACACUAAUUCAAGAACAGCAAAUGCAAAAUAAUGUUCCCUUAUUUGGAGAAUGAUUUUCAAACGGAACAAUACUCAGCAUUUUGGGGGGAGGAGAGUGGGGGGUUGUUAUGGGGGAUUGAACCCGGGGCACUUUGCCACUAAAACAUAUCACCCAACACUCAGCAUUUUUAAUUGCUCAGUUUGGGACUAGUUCUGCUUUCUUAUCUUUGCUAACCUCACAUUUGUUGAUGGCACACACUCUGUAGUCAUCCCAGAGCAUUAAAUUCACUUUUAAGCAAAAUGUGAUGCCUCCCCUCUGACAAUUUUCUAUCCCAGUUUCUCCCACAACCAGCUCCACCAUGCUCAUGAAUAUUGUCUUUCACCUUUACUGUUUGACGAAACAUUAAUAAUAACGCCACUAUUGAUUGGCCUUUAUAAUUCAUGAAACAUGACAAGAAAUGGUAGAGUAUUUAAUUUUAUAGCAAUAUUUGAAAAUAACUGAAGUUUAGAAAACUUAGAUAAAUUGCCCAUGUCAAAGUUACUGCCACUGUUAUGUACACAGAACUCAAAAGAGGGAGAAACAGAUGUAGUAUUGGCCAGUGAUGGCACAUUGGUAAUUGUCAACUCCACAGGAAUACAUGAGAUACCUAACUCAGGAAGAGCACAUGGAACAAGUGUAAAGGGUGCCAAAUCCUGGGUGAAUAAGAAUGGGAAGGGUCAGGAUGAAGAACCAGAGAGUGAGAGCAACCGGAAAGUAACAUUAAGAUUUUAAAAACCAGAUACCAGCUCAAGAGGUGAAUCUUUACCCUCCUUCUGCUAAUCCUUCUUCUAAGAGGAUGGACUUUCCUUUUCUUUCUUAUCUGUUUUUCUCAACUCCUAUACAAAAUAUGCCAUUUAUAAAAACUGAAGCUGAAGAAGGCAUUCAUAUUUUUUUUUAAGUUUUCUCUCUUUUUUUUCAUUUGUUGAUGGACCUUUAUUUUAUUUAUAUAUGGUGCUGAGAAUUGAACCUAGGGCCUCACACAUGCUAGACAAGCUCUCUACCACUGAGCUACAGCCCCAGCCCAUGUUGUUUUUUAAAUCCAACAUUACAUGCUGAGAGAAUAUUUCAUUUUUAUUUCAUGUUGUCUUAGGUCAAUGUGCAAGUUAUUGGGCUACUCACAAGUCUGAGUGACAUUCCUGAGAACUUACUGUAAAACAAAGAAUCUUACUGUAGACAUAGUGACAAUGUGGAAAUCCUUUGUGGUUUGACUGGGUUGCUAAUCAGAAUCUGCAAUUUUGAAAAUUUUCUUUUGGAAUUGUCAUUAUGUAUACAUAAUUAAAAGUCAUUUCAAUCAGCUUGCAUUUUUGAAUGAAAUGAAAAAUUAUAUUUUCAAAUACCCUUCCAAAACUACAUUCAACUUUUUAAAUUAUGAAUUUUCUCAUUCAUUUAAUAUUUUAUCUGAUUAAAAUUCUGAGUAAUUCAUACAUAGGCUAAUUUUAAAUUGACUUAUUUUACAUUUUUGAGGAAAUAAUUUAAGAGUAUACACACAAUUUCAAAGGUAAUUUUUAUGUGAGGGUAUAAACAUUAUAAAAAUUUGGAGUGAAUCUAUACCUUUGGGAAGAUUUCCAUGGCAAGGUAGAAUCCAUCCCUCAUGGUCUCCCUCAUGCUGCUGAUCAUUCUUACAUAUUCCCUAAAGCAGAACCUCUACCUGCUAAGAAUACCUGCUAAGUUAGGUCUGGGUCCUUUCUUUAUUGGAAAGCAAUAAUAGUGCUUUCCAGUGAAAAUAUAUAGUAAUUCAGAUAAAUUCUAACUAGUCCUGAUUAUAUUACUUAUUGUAUUUCAUUACAAUUUUGUUUAUUUUACUUUUAUCUUUUAAAGUAUAAAAUAAUUUUAUUCCCAUGAAAAUUGCAGAGGAAUGAAUUUAUUUCUCCAGUGUUAGUCUAUAAUGCUUUCUUUUGUUUCUUAUCAGUGGUUGUUUCAAAAGAAACAAUUUUCAAAAGCCAUAAAAGUUCUUCCACAUAGUUGAGGUAAAAUAAAGAAAAAAUUCCUAGGCAGCAUUUUUAAAGCCUGAUAUGAGAUAUUUUGUCUACUUAAAACUAAGAAACAGCAAAAGUAAAAAAGAAAAAAAUAUAUAAAGUUCUUCUUAGUACACACCGCCAACAUGGUUCAGGUGGCUCAUGGAGGUUGGCUGAGUGAGGAAGAAGAACUCUUUUGAGGGUAAUGCCAGAAAGCUGGUAGAAACUGUAAAUGUUAUUGAUCAGAAUAGGACUUUUGUGAUUGGAUCUUUCACUAAUGCAAGGAGACAGGUCAUGCCUUUCAAACACAUGCAGCUCUCUGACUCCAUCAAGUUCCUAUACAGGACCUGCCAGAUGUACAUCCCACUUCAUCUGAUCAGGACAAGAAGGGUGGCCACAAGAUAGGUCAAGAAGAUUAAAGCUAGAGAGAGGAAAGUCAAAAUUACAGAUUUUGAUCACCUUAAAGCCUAGAAGACAAAGAAAAUAAGAAAUAAAAUAAUCAACAAUGAAACUAGGAAACUUCGAAGGGCCACUACUCUCCUGAAAGCUUUUCCCAAAAAAGUACCUGUCACUAGGUUGCAGCUAUAGCUGCUGUUAAAACUAGAAUUCCAGCAAAAGAGAUGACCCCUCCUUGCAAGAAGGAUCCAGCCAGANAUUUAUUAUGUAUCGAUAUGUAAUUGUUUAACAGGAUGUUACUAUAAGUUAAAUGAACUUAACUUUCCUUUGUCCUAUUCAGAGUACUUGCCUAGAAAUGACUUCUCUAAAUUUGCAAUUUCCAGAGUCUGCACUGAUUCUGUUCAUCUUUUAUAGGAUGGUCUGAUGCUCAUAAUUUUUCAGUCAAGCUGCAUACUUAUUCAUACUACAAACCUGUGUUGAGAACUUACUUCUCUAUCUGGCCAGGUACUGUGUUAGAUACAUAAUCCAGAAAUGCACUCUACCUUGCGCUGGAAAUCCCCUCUCCUCCCCCACAGAUCCCGGCUCCAUGUGUGAGGGUUCAUCUAUCUGGUCUUAUCCCUGAGGACUCAACUUAAGUGUCCCCAUGAGUGGUCCUGUGCACUGUCCCCACCAAGCUGUAGCAAGUCUUCUUCUCAACAGUACACACUUUGUGUAUCUCUAAUAAAGUCAUCAUUGCUUCAUGUAGAAUCCAUUUUCCUGAUGGGAUCCUUCACCCAAAUGUAAGCUGUUCAGGGCAGAAGGCUUCUGGACAGCAAUUGGAGAACAAUUCAGGUGUCAAUAUAGCUGGAUUUUCAGGUGCCAAGGAAAAGGGGAUGGGCCUAUUCUCUCUGACUAUCUAAAGAUUGCAUUUUAAUCCUAAAUUUAAAAUGCUUCAAACUUUGAAAAAAAUUAUAUCUAAGAGUUUAAAGUCACAAUUCCUUAUUUUUUUUAAUUUCAUGAGGAGAAAUUGCCUCUGAAGAGUUCUUUAACUUUGGGAAAGGAAAUGUUUAAUCAGCAAAAAUUUAAACAGAUAUUUCUGAGGAGGAAGUUACUUGAGGAAGCAGAAGGGCAACCAUGCAUGUGCACUGAGCAGGAAGUAGGUAAACAUCGGGCCUCUGAGUUAGAUCUUGUAAAAUCCAGGGACACAGUGAUUUGGGAGGGGUUCCUAGAGAUAUUUACUAGUAAUGAAGGAGAGCCUGAUGAGGAGUCUAUCUUCUUCCUAAUUAUAUUACUUUUAAUGCAAAACAACAAAUAGAAAGCAGAUUUCUCAAACACCCCAAAAGCUGAACUGCCUGGGGAAAAUGAUGCAUCUGCAAAUCAGCCUGGACUAGUUCUCAAAUACUUUGCACAAAUUAAUAAAUUAAAGUAGCGGCCAAGCAGGACAUAGCAGGUGAGAAAAAAAAUACGCAGAAACAGCCAGGAGAUAAGUUCCUGAUAAAAGCAUUCUUUUCAAAGAACAGCAAGAACCCAGACUGGAAGGUUGGUGUUGUCAAUUUAAGUCUGAUUCCUCUCAAGAAAAGAUGUGAUGAACAGAUAAGAGUAAUUUUAAUUAGCACUUUGGUUGUUCAUAAAGUAUUUCAAGACAUUUCAAAGCAGUUCUUUUAAACCUCUUAAAUGCUUAUACAUCCUGUUAAUUUAUGUUAUAAAAAGGAUGACUUAUUAAGCAAAUAUUGACAUCAAUCCAGACGAUUAUGGCAAACUUUGAAAUGCUGGAGUCCAAACCAAUAGAUUUUAUUUGUCCACACUACUAAUUAAGGAUUUGAAGCUAAAUUUAAAAGCAAAAACCUAUUACUCUUCAUAUGAUGUUUCAUUAGUUAUUAAGGAUUUAUGCAUUGUUACACAUUAAAAACAUAUAUACAUUGCAUUUGAAACAAAAAGAAAACUUUAAAGAGACUAUAAAGCAUGAUGAACCUCCUUGGUUAAUAAGCAAGGUACUCCCUGUUCACAAACAUUCAAGCCCAGGAGAGUCAGUCAUGAGCAGGUCACCAAAGGCUCUGACUCCUUGGGUCAGAGCCUGAGAAUCCCAACUCUGGCUAGGAACCAAAACAGAACUUUAUAGACAUAUACAGAAACAUAAACAAACACACAAACAAACCCCAAGACAUUGUGAACUAGAAGUUUGAGGUAGAGUUCUAUAGACAGCAGACACAAAACCUGGGUGACACUCUCCCAAAACUUAAUGCUAGAGCAUUUGGUAUGCUUUGCUGAUGACCUAAUCUAAGCUACAGCAAUGUCCCUAAAUUAAGAAUUAGUGUGUUAGCAAGUAUAAACUUAUAGAAUUAUUCUUGAACCCCGCUUCUUAAGUCAGACCUUGCAGGGUACUUUGACUUUUGCAUUUGUUAAAAGCAAUAUUGGAUGUUGUGUUAUUUCUGCCUACUCUAAAUGUGUUCACCACUUUUUAAGUGGGAAGCAUGUAGCAGAAAGGUUAGAACUUUUCCCUACAUCUGACAAAAAAUAAAUGACAAUUUAUAAUAUAAUUCAAUUCUCUUCAGUGGAUAACUAGAAAAUAAUAGCAUUCAUUUGGCUACCAUUCUUGGGCAUAUUUUAAAAUUCUUUACAUGACUUCUUAUGUUUAUUUGAUUUUUCCAGCCCAUAAUGUUGGUACAAUUUUCAUUUUACAUAUGAGGAAAUGAAGGACAAAGUGACUUUGUGAUCUCUCCAAGAUCACACAUGGCUAGUAAAUAUGGAGGCAGAAAUGAAAUUUAGUCAACCUGACUCCAAAGUCUUAACAAUAACAUGCUGUUUAUUUCUCUACCAUCUUUCCUAUAAUAAUAAUUUGUGGUAUUUUGUCUGUCAGAUGCUAUAAAUGACCUAAUUGUAGAGUUAAUCCUCCUCUAGACUCACAUGAAAAACAAAAUUCCUAGGGUAACCUUUUGGUCCAACAAUCUGUAACCAAGGUCUUCCCAGAGGAGGUCCUUCCCUCACCCACAAUUCCUAUCUUGACUUAGUGCCUCUUGGUUCAGGACCUCAGUGCUCUAAGACUUCCUAUCUCCAUUAGCACUCACAGAAUUUUACUCAGGCCUUUUCUCCAUGUACACAGUCAUUUGUUUUACAGAAAAAAUCAAAAUGUAUUUCAGCCACCCAUCUGUUGCUUAAAUCCCUUCUACAAUAUUCUUAUCAAAUGGUCUGGAAAUUUGAAAUCUCCAUGGUAGCUCAUUUCAUCUUUGGAUACCUUUAAAUCUAACUGUAGUUUUCUUUAGUUAUAACUUGUAAACUUAAUCUGGUUGUUGUUAUUUUGAGCACUUAAAAAUGAUGGAAUUUGUCUCUAGAAAAAAAAUGCAGACAUGUGCAAAAUGUUUCAUAAACAAUUUCUGAGGAUUGCAGAUACCUUAAAGCCUACGAAUGGUCUGUGGACCUUGGGCUGAGAAACUUCCAGUAAUAGCUCCUCAGAUGCUGUAAGGAAAUGCUUUUCUCUUCUAUAUUUGUGCAUUGUGUCCAAGUUCGUGGACUUCAGUUCUCGCCCCACUGAAUUACCUCUGUUUAGAUUUCAGCCACUUAUUUCAGCCAUGGAGAUCUUUCCUGAAAUCUGAUUCUAUGAUCUAAUCUAUUUACUUUCCUUCCUUAAAGUUGCUUUAGGGCUUUAUCAGCAUGCUCUAGGGCUUUUGCCAUAGCCACUGGCAAAGAUAUGGACCAGGAAAUGGCUAGGAACAGAACACUGCUGUUAGCAGCUAGCAACCAGUUUCCUAAAGGAUAUAUUUAUUACUCUGGGUAAGUGGGAUGUGCCACUACAUUUUUUUGGCAAAGAUCAUACAAUGAAAAUAAAGUGAAUACCAAGGAAGUGUGCAUAACAAACAGAAUAUAAUCAUAUACAGUUAACCUUAUCCCCUUUAGAGAACUGCUUUUUUUUUUUUUCUGAUUUCUUCUGUUGGGUUAGUUAAGGAAUUGGACUAACAACACAGGGAAUUUGAAAACACAUGAGAGCCACAUGAUUGAAAGGCUAAGUACUGAUUGCAACAUUUCCUUUUAUAGUUUAGUGUAUGACCUUAGGAAACCCACACAUGUUCCAGGUCUAGAGACUUAAAAAAUUAUAAUCCUCCUAAAUAAAUAGUGUGGCUACCCAAUGGCAAGCUCUUUGGCUUAAAGAAUUCUCAUGGCCACUAACUUAAAUGCCAUGUUUAGUCUACAUUUUUAAAAAGAGUUUAAUUUGCUUAUUUGCUUGCUUGUUUUUAUUUUCUGCAGGGGAGGGGGCAAGGACAGUAUCAGAGAUUGGACCCAGGAGCACUUAACCACUGAGCCCCAUCUCCAGCCCUUUUUAUUUUUUAUUUUGAGAUAGGUUCUGGCUAAAUUGCUUAUGGCCUCUUUAAGUGUCUGAGGCUGGCUUUGAAUUUAUAAUCCUCCUGCCUUCCACACUGUUGGGAUUACAAGUGUGCGUCACCAUGCUCAGAAUAGUUUCUUUGCUUUUAAGAAAACAUUUUCAUGCUUUAAAGUAGCUUUUACUUCUGGUAUUCUAGAGUUUUGUGGACAGUUCACCUUGACCGUGUUCAGGUACUUGGUAGAUUUUAUAAAUCAGGUCACAUGCUUCUGGUGUUUCAGAACUAAGAGUUGCAACGAAGCUAGUAUUGUACAGCAGAAAAAAAUUGAAAAAGAUCAGUCAGAGGCUUCUAGGUCUGUUAUUAACUACAUUAGUGAUCAUGAACAAUUAAACCACCCUUUCUGGGGCUCUUGUCACAAGGAAAAGAGGGAGGGAGCUAGGUUACCUCUCUGAGAUCUCCUUUAAUUUUCAAAACUCUGUAGUUCUAAUUUUAAUAAAUUAAAAGGACACACUAAACCAUAAGAAAUAAUAAAUAGUAUCUAGAUUCCUUUCUGUGCUUUAAACUUCAAGACUAAAAUAUUAUUUUAAUACACAAGUGCUAUCAUACAGCAUAUUUUCACCCGAUUAGCAAUUCAUAGUAGAUCACAGGACAUAAUCCCUCUAAUCCAGUGUUUCCUCAAUGUGGUUUUACAUUGGAAACACCAAGGGAAUUUUAAAACUGCUUUAGCCUAGAUCUUGCCACCAAAUAUUCUGAUUUAAUUGGUGAGAGGUGAGCCAGAUGGACCAGAAAGAGUACUAUAACUUCUCUAGGACCAAACAACUGCUCUAACCCAUAGUUCUCCAUUCUGUGCAUCCAGGAGCCACCUGGGAGCUUUUCAGACCUGCCAAUGCCUAGGCUCACCUCCAGAUUCUGAUAUAAUUGGCCUGUGGGACCUAGGUGUUGAUAAGUUUUCAAACUCUCCUGGUGACUGUGACGUGCACUCAGGGUUGAGAACCACUCCUUUAAUUGCUACCUCGCUAGUUCUAUCUAGUUGAUCAUCUGACCUCUUAUUCCAGCCCACACUGGCCACUCAUCAAAUGAAAAUCCUUGGACCUUAUUACAAGGUGCAGCUCUGCCUCCAUUACAUCAACCGAGUGCCAACUUCCUGCUUUUUUUCUAGAAUCAUAACCCUCUUAUCUUUUCAAUUAACCAGCGCUCCAUGUUCUGUGACUUAACUGGUCUUCUGGUCUCAAAUGAUUCUUUUCAUAAUGUCACCCCUUUCCUUACUACAACUUUUUGUCUGCUGCGAUCAUCCAUUCACCCUAGUACUUUGCAUCCUUUCGUCCACUACUCUUCUGCAUCCUGGACUAUCCUUAUCAUAUUUUCUCCGCUAAGUCCAGCUGACUACUAUUAAAUGAAAUCUAAAAGAGAUAUAAAGCUGAAAAAAAUCUGCCCAUUGUGAUCAUCAAACAGCCAAAUUCUAAACAUGUACAGCAAAGGAAUUGGAAAACACACACACACACACAUACACACACACAAUUUAUAAAGUUGUGGAGUUUUUUUUGGGGGGGGGCAGUACUGGGGAUUGAACUCAGGGGCACUCAACUACUGAGUCACAUCCCCAGCCUUAUUUUGCCUUUUAUUUAGAGACAGGGUCUCACUGAGUUACUUAGCAUCUUGCUUUUGCUGAGCCUGGCUUUGAACUCUACAUCCUCCUAUCUCAGCCUCCUAAGCCACUGGGAUUAUAUGCGUGAGCCUGGAAAUUUACAAAGUUUUUAUAGCAAUAAUAUUACACAUGUAAAAAUGUUUAUAUUUUCUUCAAUGUAACAUUAGCUGUAGUUCCAGUCAGGUACCUUGACAAACAUAAAGAUCAAUCUGAAAAAGAACAAGGCUGAGAACUGUGUAUUAUCUAGGGAAUUAAGUAGUUACCAAAAGACUGGAACUUUAUAAUAGAAAAAUGAAGGCCGAGGGUGCCGCAGUCUGGUUGGGCACAAAAUAACCGAGCCACCACAAAACCUUGUAGAUUCAAACAGCAACUCUUUAUUCCAGAACUCUCACCGACACUCUACCCACACUUCCCGUGAACACCCUGCCUCCACUCGGCUCCGCGCACCAAUCCUCUCAGAACCCCGCGAGAACUCAACGGGAACUCCAAAGGAGCGGGUGCCUGAGGCAGCAGGAUACAACCUAUACCCAGCAGGAUCCACCCUAAACCUGGAGCCGCCCUAUUCCCAGCAGGAUCCACCCUAAACCUGGAGCCACCCUAAUCCCUGAGCAGGUUCACCUUUCAACCCAAAAUGCCAUGCAUCAUUCCUACUUGGCUAUGGCUCUCAGCACGAGGGUGAGUCAUUUUACCAUGAUGAUUAAUAUCAUAAUUUUGUUUCAAAUAAGGAACAUAGAAAGCAUAAAAUGUAUUCUAGGAAAAAUGAAAGACAUUAUUUCAUAGUAAUUAUAAAACAAAACCCUAGGUAAAAAUAAAUGGGUUCAUUGAAGGCUUAGACAAAUUUGAUUAUCAAUUAAGGUAUAAUAAGUUUUGCAGAAUGUAAAAAGAAAUACUAACAUCAGGGAAGAACUUUAUAAUUUAAAGCAUUUUCAUAUGCAUGUUUUUAUUCAAAUGGUUGGGGGGGGGGCGGUUAGAGGUCUCCUGACUAUAUUCUGAACAUUUUGAGGCCAGCAUUGUCAAUGUCAAGUUGCCAUCAGUUUCUUCCUCCUUUAAGAGGCUAUCUGAAAUGUGAUGCUAUACAGACCAGACCUUUAUUCUUAGUGGCAUUUAUAUCCUUAAUAACUAGAGGUAGGUUUAUCAUGAAGCUAAUGAAGCUUUAAGCUUUAACCUCCUUUCUUACAAAGGUUCUUCCCAAAGCUCUAAGUGGGGCCCAGGCAUUGGUUCCAUAUGCACAUGUUUUUAUCAAAUAACAAAAGUAAAUUAUUAGGGCUGGGGUUGUAGCUCAGUGGUAGAGCGCUUGCCUUGCAUUCAUGAGGCCCUGGGUUCGAUCCUUAGCACCACAUAAAAAAUAAAUAAAUAAAAAUAUUGUGUUUAUCUACAACUAAAAAAUUUUUUUAAAUAUAUAUUAUUAUAGUUUGUUGUGAUUUCUUUUUCCAUUCUAAAUAUUUACUUUUUCACUUGCUCUGUAUUAGUAAUUUUGCAUUCUUUUUCUUUGGGAUGGAAUAUGGACCUGCAUAUAACCCAUUAUUUCUAAAUUACAGUGUCCUGCUAAACACUGCGAGACCAGUAACAUCUCUCUUCUUUGUCUUUUACCUUCUCCAUCAACCCUCAGCCUUUGAGGGUUAGCUCUUCCUGGCUCUCUC
RNAcentral lists this long non-coding RNA (10951 nucleotides) under Marmota monax (woodchuck). The stretch from base 10580 to 10648 matches the Rfam family "tRNA". Lineage: Eukaryota; Metazoa; Chordata; Mammalia; Rodentia; Sciuridae. The record is from RNAcentral.